GCUCUUCCUAACCUUCCAAAACUCUGAAGAGUUUCUCCAUUAUCGUUGGCUUGUUACGCUCCAAAGCUUUCAACAUUCCAGACUCCAGCCAAAAUUUCCAUAUUAUUCCAGGUAAAUGUUAAUCCCUGUGUUUACCAUACCCGUGCUAGCUUAAUCUUGUCUAAUUUCGGGGUAGAAUUGACCGUUCUCUGACCUAGGGGAUAAGGAGAAAAAAAAAACAAGCUUUCUAGUGUUCUUCAGGCUUGUUGCUGUGAGUUCUUGUUUGAUCGUUUCGCUCAGCACACCAUUUUGUUUGAUUUUGAAGCCUUUGAAUGGAUCGAGUUUUUUGGUUUCCAAAGAUGCAUUUCUUUUUCUCUUCUCUGCAGAUGGUUCUUAGCCCUGCAAAAUAAUUCUCGUUUCGUCAAUCGUCGUGGCGAUUAGUUGUUAGUUUUCGCUGCUAUUUGGAUGUGGAAGAGGGAAUGGUUUUUUACCAUAUAUGAGAUGCAGGGCAUAACGAACUGGAACUUAAAUUUUGAUCAUUUUGUUUAGUUCAAAAAACAUAUGUGGUUUUGUUGGUUAUGUUUUCGAUUUUAUCAGCGAGAGAAGAUGCCCUGACGAUCUGAUUCUCAAGGUCUUAGGCUACGAGGCUUCCUUUUUAAUUUGUGAUUGAUUGUAUAGGCUUUGAAGUAUCAAAAAUUAUUUAACAUCUAUGUAAUGUAACCACCAAACUGUGGUGUUUUCUCUACUCCUCUUUAAGUGAAUGGCUUGACAAAUGUUAUCCUUAGAAGAAACGUAAUAUGUUCAUUAGAUUAGCAUGAACUAGCAUUCUAGGAAAACCAUUCUAGUAGUAUGUUUUAUGGUGUAAAUUGUUAAUUACUCCUAGUCCCUAAAGGCUUUGACAUGAAUACAAUCAGUAAAGCAUCAUGGUGAGCAAAGAAAUUUCUAGCGUACUCCCUCCGUCCCGUAAAAAACGAAUCUAGAACUAGAUAUGACAUAUUCUAAUACUACGAAUCUGGAACAUAUGUAUACCCAGAUUCGUAAGACUAGAUAUGUCACAUCCGGUAUUAAGUUGAUUUUUUAUGUAACAGAUGGAGUAUGUGCUAACGAUAUCCUAACAAUCAAAAAUGGUAAAAAAAAAUAUAUUUAUUAAUUUAACUAUCCACUGUCAACUUCAAUGUGACGCUGAAAAAAAUUAAAAGUACGAAAUUUUGAAACAAUAAUAUUAUUAUAUUAGUUUUAUGAAAAUGAUAUCGGUAUAUCAUGUCUAGAACUUCCAGCUCAUGAGCUUUAACUGCCUAUUGUUGGGUGAUUUCUAAUAAAAAAUCACCCAGAUUUUUUCAACUCUUAGAUUUACAUUUAACGG
This 1342-nucleotide small RNA is filed under the name Oryza sativa Japonica Group (Japanese rice). Its description in RNAcentral is "misc RNA OsFbox203". Lineage: Eukaryota; Viridiplantae; Streptophyta; Magnoliopsida; Poales; Poaceae. The record is from RNAcentral.